This 170-nucleotide ribosomal RNA is filed under the name Furcina osimae. RNAcentral's name for it is "partial 12S ribosomal RNA". The record is from RNAcentral. Lineage: Eukaryota; Metazoa; Chordata; Actinopteri; Perciformes; Cottidae.
CACCGCGGUUAUACGAGAGGCCCAAGUUGAUGAGCUGCCGGCGUACGGCGUGGGUAGGACAAAACUCAAACUAAGGCCAAACAUCUUCCAAGCUGUAAUACGCAACCGAACCCGGGAAGCCCAACCACGAAAGUGGCUUUAUAUAGUUUCAACCCACGAAAGCUAGGGAA